AUGCACCGCCUCCUCCCUCCUCGCGGCUGCCUGCUCCGACGCCUGUCCACGGCCGCCGCAGCCUCGCCCCAUCCACCGCGGCGCCCGCUGGCCGAUUCACUCUACCGCCGCGUCACUGCCGUAUGGAACCCGCGCCUCCCGCUGACUCCCGUGCUGGAGCAAUGGGCGGUCACGGAGGGCCGGGCCGUCGAGAAGAACAGCCUCAUGUCCAUCGUCAAGCAGCUCGUCCGCCUCCGCCGCUUCUCCCACGCGCUCGAGCUGUCAAUGUGGAUGACCGACCGGCGGUACAUGUACCUGUCGCCUGGCGACGUCGCGUACCGGCUGGAGCUGAUCAGCAAGGUGAAAGGCCUCGAGAGUGCCGUGAACUACUGGAAGGGCUUGUCGAUCCAGGUGAAGAACUCUCAUUGCUACGGAUCCCUCCUGAAAUGCUAUGCGGAGGCAAAAUCCGUCGACGAGGCCGAAAAGCUCUUCGCGGAGAUGCAUGACUUGGGAAUGAUGAGUUCAUAUCCUUACAAUGUGAUGAUGAAGCUUUACUGGGAGACCGGGCAGGUUGAGAGGGUGCACGCCAUGUACAGGGCCAUGGAAGAGAGCAGCAUCAAGCCUGAUGUAUUCAGUAUCAACAUUCUGUUGACGGUGCUCGCAGCUGCUGGAAAUUUUGAUGGCAUUGAGGAAAUUGUCAAGAAGGUCGACCCGAAGAUCGUGAAUUGGCACUCACAUGCCAUUGUAGCCAGGGCUUUCAUGGAAGCCGGGCAGCAAGGAAAGGCCUUGCGAGCUAUCCAGGAAUCAGAAAAGCAGAUAGGUCGGAAGGAUGAGAGGGUUGCAUAUGGGUUCUUGCUUUCCAUGUUUGCUGAUUUGGGAAUGAGUAGUGAGGCGGACCGGGUUUGGAAUGUCUACAAGUCCAAAGUGCCGGUAUGCAACUCGAUGUACAUGUGCAGGAUAAGUGGGCUGCUUAAGAUGAAUGACAUUGAUGGUGCUGAGAAAGCCUUUAGAGAGUGGGAAAGUAGGUAUGUUCACCAUGAUAUCCAGUUAACAAACUUACUGCUAAAUGCUUACUGCGCCAAAGGUCUUAUGGAGAAGGCAGAAACUUUCCUGGAUGAAGCCAUCGCCAAAGGGAGGACACCUCACCGUGGUACUUGGUAUAGGUUGGCUAGUGGAUUUUUCCAGGACGGCCAGGUGUCGAAGGCGGUGGAUAUGACAAGGAAAGCUCUUGCUUGUGCGUCUUCUCGAUGGGAACCUGACCUAACAAAUGUGCUAAUGAGCCUGGAACAUUUCAUGGAGCAAAAGAAUGUUGAAGCAGCCGAGGAGAUGGCAAGCCUGCUACGGAAUUUAGUACCUUUGACAAGGGAUGUUUACCACAUUUUACUAGAGACAUAUGUUCAUGCAGGACAACCAGUGUCAGAUUUACUUGAUCGCAUGAAAAAAGAUGGUUUUGAGGCUGAUGAAGAAACAGAUAAAAUCAUCGCUGGAAUAUGCCAGUAG
RNAcentral lists this ribosomal RNA (1479 nucleotides) under Triticum aestivum (bread wheat). RNAcentral's name for it is "partial small subunit ribosomal RNA". The record is from RNAcentral. Lineage: Eukaryota; Viridiplantae; Streptophyta; Magnoliopsida; Poales; Poaceae.